CCUCCCUGCUCCCUCCUGUUCUGUUGUUUGUCACAGGUCACCUGCAGCCAGGCUGUGCUGCAUCAGUGCCUGCACGGUUCCCACUGCAGGAUGCUCUGAGUGGCACGGGGGAUGAAGAUGAGAUAUACGAUGAUGUUGAGCCUGUUGAACCAGCCAGGAGAAGCCCAGGCCUUCGGUUGCCUUUUGUGUCCCAGCUGCCAGUGUGUCCCUGCCACAGAGGAGGUGGAAAUUCUGUCCGAGCCUCUAACAGGGUUACCUUGCUGGCUGCUACACAGAGAGAAUCCCAGGUCUCCCAGAAGAUGAAGACCAUGACACUCAAGGCAUGCAAGAAGGAAGAGAAGAUGGACAGGGGGUUUCAGAAGAAAUUCAAGGUGAGCAACAGCGAAUGAUCACUUU
This 396-nucleotide long non-coding RNA is filed under the name Serinus canaria (Common canary). RNAcentral describes it as "lncRNA (ENSSCAG00000000854.1)". Lineage: Eukaryota; Metazoa; Chordata; Aves; Passeriformes; Fringillidae. The record is from RNAcentral.